RNAcentral lists this ribosomal RNA (694 nucleotides) under uncultured Bacteroidales bacterium. RNAcentral's name for it is "bacterial SSU rRNA". It matches the Rfam family "Bacterial small subunit ribosomal RNA", at positions 32 to 715 of the family's 1533-position model. The record is from RNAcentral. Lineage: Bacteria; Pseudomonadati; Bacteroidota; Bacteroidia; Bacteroidales.
AACGCUAGCUACAGGCUUAACACAUGCAAGUCGCGGGGCAGCAUGAAGGAUGCUUGCAUCCUUUGAUGGCGACCGGCGCACGGGUGAGUAACGCGUAUCCAACCUGCCUGUUACCACGGCACAGCCCGUCGAAAAGCGGAUUAAUGCCGUAUGUGGUCUUGAAAGGGCAUCUGAUCAUGACUAAAAGUUCGGCGGUAACAGAUGGGGAUGCGUCCGAUUAGCUAGACGGCGGGGUAACGGCCCACCGUGGCUACGAUCGGUAGGGGUUCUGAGAGGAAGGUCCCCCACACUGGAACUGAGACACGGUCCAGACUCCUACGGGAGGCAGCAGUGAGGAAUAUUGGUCAAUGGGCGCAAGCCUGAACCAGCCAAGUAGCGUGAGGGAAGACUGCCCUAUGGGUUGUAAACCUCUUUUGUGCGGGGAUAAAGUGAGGGACGCGUCCCUUAUUGCAGGUACCGCACGAAUAAGGACCGGCUAAUUCCGUGCCAGCAGCCGCGGUAAUACGGAAGGUCCGGGCGUUAUCCGGAUUUAUUGGGUUUAAAGGGAGCGCAGGCCGUCCUUUAAGCGUGCUGUGAAAUGCCGCGGCUCAACCGUGGCACUGCAGCGCGAACUGAAGGACUUGAGUACGCACGAGGUAGGCGGAAUUCGUGGUGUAGCGGUGAAAUGCUUAGAUACCACGAAGAACUCCGAUUG